RNAcentral lists this transfer RNA (72 nucleotides) under Gasteruption tournieri. RNAcentral's name for it is "tRNA-Asn". Lineage: Eukaryota; Metazoa; Arthropoda; Insecta; Hymenoptera; Gasteruptiidae. The record is from RNAcentral.
UUAAUUAAAACCAAAUUAGAGGUGUAAUAUUGUUAAUAUUAUUAUUGGUAAAUUUAAAUUUAUCUAAUUAAA